RNAcentral lists this ribosomal RNA (1466 nucleotides) under metagenome. RNAcentral's name for it is "bacterial SSU rRNA". It matches the Rfam family "Bacterial small subunit ribosomal RNA". The record is from RNAcentral.
CAGGAUGAACGCUGGCGGCGUGCUUAACACAUGCAAGUCGAACGAAGCACUCUAUUUGAUUUCCUUCGGGAUUGAUUAUUUUGUGACUGAGUGGCGGACGGGUGAGUAACGCGUGGGUAACCUGCCUUGUACAGGGGGAUAACAGUUGGAAACGGCUGCUAAUACCGCAUAAGCGCACAGUACCGCAUGGUAUAGUGUGAAAAACUCCGGUGGUAUAAGAUGGACCCGCGUUUGAUUAGCUAGUUGGUGAGGUAAUGGCCCACCAAGGCGACGAUCGGUAGCCGGACUGAGAGGUUGAACGGCCACAUUGGGACUGAGACACGGCCCAGACUCCUACGGGAGGCAGCAGUGGGAAUAUUGCACAAUGGGGGAAACCCUGAUGCAGCGACGCCGCGUGGAGGAAGAAGGUCUUCGGAUUGUAAACUCCUGUUGUUGAGGAAGAUAAUGACGGUACUCAACAAGGAAGUGACGGCUAACUACGUGCCAGCAGCCGCGGUAAAACGUAGGUCACAAGCGUUGUCCGGAAUUACUGGGUGUAAAGGGAGCGCAGGCGGGCGAUCAAGUUGGAAGUGAAAUCCAUGGGCUCAACCCAUGAACUGCUUUCAAAACUGAUUGUCUUGAGUAGUGCAGAGGUAGGCGGAAUUCCCGGUGUAGCGGUGGAAUGCGUAGAUAUCGGGAGGAACACCAGUGGCGAAGGCGGCCUACUGGGCACCAACUGACGCUGAGGCUCGAAAGUGUGGGUAGCAAACAGGAUUAGAUACCCUGGUAGUCCACACCGUAAACGAUGAUUACUAGGUGUUGGAGGAUUGACCCCUUCAGUGCCGCAGUUAACACAAUAAGUAAUCCACCUGGGGAGUACGACCGCAAGGUUGAAACUCAAAGGAAUUGACGGGGGCCCGCACAAGCAGUGGAGUAUGUGGUUUAAUUCGACGCAACGCGAAGAACCUUACCAAGUCUUGACAUCCUGCGACGAUGCUAGAAAUAGUAUUUUCCUUCGGGACGCAGAGACAGGUGGUGCAUGGUUGUCGUCAGCUCGUGUCGUGAGAUGUUGGGUUAAGUCCCGCAACGAGCGCAACCCUUAUGGUCAGUUACUACGCAAGAGGACUCUGGCCAGACUGCCGUUGACAAAACGGAGGAAGGUGGGGAUGACGUCAAAUCAUCAUGCCCUUUAUGACUUGGGCUACACACGUACUACAAUGGCGUUAAACAAAGAGAAGCAAGGCCGCGAGGUGGAGCAAAACUCAGAAACAACGUCCCAGUUCGGACUGCAGGCUGCAACUCGCCUGCACGAAGUCGGAAUUGCUAGUAAUCGUGGAUCAGCAUGCCACGGUGAAUACGUUCCCGGGCCUUGUACACACCGCCCGUCACACCAUGAGAGCCGGGGGGACCCGAAGUCGGUAGUCUAACCGCAAGGAGGACGCCGCCGAAGGUAAAACUGGUGAUUGGGGUGAAGUCGUAACAAGGUA